ACGGAGGGAGCGAACGUUGUUCGGAUUCACUGGGCGUAAAGGGCGUGUAGGCGGUCUGGCAAGUCAGGGGUGAAAUACCGCGGCUCAACCGUGGAAUUGCCUUUGAAACUACCGGACUUGAGGCCGUGAGAGGAGACUGGAAUUCCCAGUGUAGCGGUGAAAUGCAUAGAUAUUGGGAAGAACACCAGUGGCGAAGGCGAGUCCCUGGCACGGUUCUGACGCUGAGGUGCGGAAGCGUGGGGAGCAAACAGGA
This 253-nucleotide ribosomal RNA is filed under the name uncultured prokaryote. Its description in RNAcentral is "partial 16S ribosomal RNA". It matches the Rfam family "Bacterial small subunit ribosomal RNA", at positions 525 to 777 of the family's 1533-position model. The record is from RNAcentral.